AACGGGGUUUUUUGAGGAAAUGGCGACUUUCGGUCAAAAUGACUUUUGGAACUUUAGGGGCCGGACGGGUGAAGUAACGCCUGGACCAACCUGCCUUUCCGAGGGGGGAUUACAUUUGGAAACCAGAUGCUUAUUCCCGCAUAAGAUUACAGUACGGCAUGAUACAGUGAUCAAAGGAGCAAUCCGCUGAAAGAUGGGCUCGCGUCCGAUUAGAUAGUUGGUGAGGUAACGGCUCACCAAGUCGACGAUCGGUAGCCGGACUGAGAGGUUGAACGGCCACAUUGGGACUGAGACACGGCCCAGACUCCUACGGGAGGCAGCAGUGGGGAAUAUUGCACAAUGGGCGAAAGCCUGAUGCAGCAACGCCGCGUGAGGGAAGACGGUUUUCGGAUUGUAAACCUCUGUUUUCGGUGACGAACAAAUGACGGUAACCGAGUAGGAAGCCACGGCUAACUACGUGCCAGCAGCCGCGGUAAUACGUAGGUGGCAAGCGUUAUCCGGAAUUACUGGGUGUAAAGGGAGCGCAGGCGGGAUAGCAAGUCAGCUGUGAAAACUAUGGGCUCAACCCAUAAACUGCAGUUGAAACUGUUAUUCUUGAGUGGAGUAGAGGCAAGCGGAAUUCCGAGUGUAGCGGUGAAAUGCGUAGAUAUUCGGAGGAACACCAGUGGCGAAGGCGGCUUGCUGGGCUCUAACUGACGCUGAGGCUCGAAAGUGUGGGGAGCAAACAGGAUUAGAUACCCUGGUAGUCCACACUGUAAACGAUGAUUGCUAGGUGUGGGGGGUCUGACCCCCUCCGUGCCGGAGUAACGCAAUAAG
Molecule: ribosomal RNA, 816 nt
Filed under: uncultured bacterium
Lineage: Bacteria
Description: bacterial SSU rRNA
Rfam family: Bacterial small subunit ribosomal RNA
Source: RNAcentral